RNAcentral lists this long non-coding RNA (326 nucleotides) under Brassica napus (rape). RNAcentral's name for it is "long non-coding RNA (BNAP_LNC006071)". Lineage: Eukaryota; Viridiplantae; Streptophyta; Magnoliopsida; Brassicales; Brassicaceae. The record is from RNAcentral.
GAUUUGUGUUCUGGUUUAUGUUUUCAUUCUGUAUAAGAAAAAUCAGUAACUAAAAUAUAGUUGUGAUCACGAUUUAAAUAUGGUAUAAUAUGCAUGUCCGUGAAUUGUAAACGAUAACAUAAAAGCGUUAAUAUGAAAUCUGAAUCUAAAAAGUGUUCUUCGAAAAAUGCUUCGCUACAUAAACUUGGUCGGUUCGUACAAAAUAGUCUUGACAAAUUGAAUAAGUUAUAAAUGGAAAUAUGUCUAGCGAACACAAGAAAAAUCUAUUGGAAAGGUGAGAGCUAGCGAUAAAAAAGAAUGUGAAAGGGAAACGAAAGCAUGUUUUA